GAUGAAGAACGUAGCGAAAUGCGAUACUUGGUGUGAAUUGCAGAAUCCCGUGAACCAUCGAAUCUUUGAACGCACAUUGCGCCCCCUGGUAUUCCGGGGGGCAUGCCUGUUCGAGCGUCAUUUCACCACUCAAGCCUCGCUUGGUAUUGGGCAACGCGGUCCGCCGCGUGCCUCAAAUCGACCGGCUGGGUCUUCUGUCCCCUAAGCGUUGUGGAAACUAUUCGCUAAAGGGUGUUCGGGAGGCUACGCCGUAAAACAACCCCAUUUCUAAGGUUGACCUCGGAUCAGGUAGGGAUACCCGCUGAACUUAAGCAUAUCAAUAAGCGGAGGA
This 331-nucleotide unclassified non-coding RNA is filed under the name soil metagenome. RNAcentral describes it as "partial contains 5.8S ribosomal RNA, internal transcribed spacer 2, and large subunit ribosomal RNA". The stretch from base 1 to 120 matches the Rfam family "5.8S ribosomal RNA", at positions 35 to 154 of the family's 154-position model. The record is from RNAcentral.